AGCGACGACGAUGACGGUUACACUGAGGCACUAAUGCGGGGCUUUAAAGGAAUAAAAAGGAAAGAGCUGAUGACAGGCUUAGAAAGCAACAGAAGAAGAGACCAAGAUGAAGGAGUCUGAGCUAAUGCGAGGAAACCCGCUGAUCAAUAUGAAUAACUUCUGCUCCUUCGACGUGGAAGUAACAAUGCUGCCUACUAUAUUAUAUUGGUCAUGGAGAGACCAAGACACCGAAACGGUUCAUCAACUACACCGUCAUAAGUGAUUUCCACCGCAAGUUUCUGCAUAGGUA
This is a long non-coding RNA of Triticum dicoccoides, 289 nucleotides long. RefSeq lists it as uncharacterized. The transcript has 3 exons. The record is from RefSeq and is a predicted model, not a curated record. Lineage: Eukaryota; Viridiplantae; Streptophyta; Magnoliopsida; Poales; Poaceae.